GCCUGGCUGGCUCAGUUGGUAGAGCAUGCAACUCUUAAUCUCAGAGUUGUGAGUUCGAGUCCCAAGUUGGGUG
This 73-nucleotide transfer RNA is filed under the name Felis catus (domestic cat). It matches the Rfam family "tRNA". From Rfam's summary of the family: Transfer RNA (tRNA) molecules are approximately 80 nucleotides in length. Their secondary structure includes four short double-helical elements and three loops (D, anti-codon, and T loops). Further hydrogen bonds mediate the characteristic L-shaped molecular structure. tRNAs have two regions of fundamental functional importance: the anti-codon, which is responsible for specific mRNA codon recognition, and the 3' end, to which the tRNAs corresponding amino acid is attached (by aminoacyl-tRNA synthetases). tRNAs cope with the degeneracy of the genetic code in two manners: having more than one tRNA (with a specific anti-codon) for a particular amino acid; and 'wobble' base-pairing, i.e. permitting non-standard base-pairing at the 3rd anti-codon position. The record is from Rfam by way of RNAcentral. Lineage: Eukaryota; Metazoa; Chordata; Mammalia; Carnivora; Felidae. RNAcentral also lists the same sequence under 4 other names.